UGGCGGGAUAGAGCAGUCCGGUAGCUCACGAGACUCAUAAUCUCGAGGUCGGAGGUUCAAAUCCUUCUCCCGCAACCA
This 78-nucleotide transfer RNA is filed under the name Salipiger sp. PrR003. Its description in RNAcentral is "Yangia sp. PrR003 tRNA-Met". It matches the Rfam family "tRNA". From Rfam's summary of the family: Transfer RNA (tRNA) molecules are approximately 80 nucleotides in length. Their secondary structure includes four short double-helical elements and three loops (D, anti-codon, and T loops). Further hydrogen bonds mediate the characteristic L-shaped molecular structure. tRNAs have two regions of fundamental functional importance: the anti-codon, which is responsible for specific mRNA codon recognition, and the 3' end, to which the tRNAs corresponding amino acid is attached (by aminoacyl-tRNA synthetases). tRNAs cope with the degeneracy of the genetic code in two manners: having more than one tRNA (with a specific anti-codon) for a particular amino acid; and 'wobble' base-pairing, i.e. permitting non-standard base-pairing at the 3rd anti-codon position. Lineage: Bacteria; Pseudomonadati; Pseudomonadota; Alphaproteobacteria; Rhodobacterales; Roseobacteraceae. The record is from RNAcentral.